This is a long non-coding RNA of Ostrea edulis (European flat oyster), 429 nucleotides long. RefSeq lists it as uncharacterized. NCBI's taxonomy places the organism in Eukaryota, Metazoa, Mollusca, Bivalvia, Ostreida, Ostreidae. The transcript is spliced from 2 exons. The record is from RefSeq and is a predicted model, not a curated record.
UGUAGCUUACGUGUUAAAACUGCAGACGCAAUUCUGUACAAUGGGAAAUUUUCCUCCGUGUUAUUUUCGCUUCCAAAACGAAUCAACCAUUUGUAAUAAGAAGAUUCGUCCGGUUUAAAAUUUGUUCCUGUUAAAAAAAAAAAGGCGAAAAUGAAACGAAGCGAAAACUCUUACAGCAGGGGCGGAUUCAGGAAUUGCGGUUACGGGGGCGCCACUUUAUGAGGCAGUGGGUCCAGGGCGAAGCCCCCGAAAGCUCCUGGAUUUUACAGAUUUUAUGGGGCUUGAAAUAUUUCUCCUAUUUAGUCAUUUGUACUAUUUUCUAUCAUUCUAAUAAAGUGAAAUUAAUAAAAUGACCCAAAUAUUAAGGGUGUUUUGUUUUUUUUUGGAAAAAAUUAAGUUCUCCCAAUAAAGUAAUUCAAGAAAUCAAAA